Molecule: unclassified non-coding RNA, 388 nt
Filed under: Hevea brasiliensis (rubber tree)
Lineage: Eukaryota; Viridiplantae; Streptophyta; Magnoliopsida; Malpighiales; Euphorbiaceae
Source: RNAcentral
AUAAGAAGGUAGCGCUCUGCAUGAACUGCAGCAGCAUGAUCAGACCUUGGAGAAGGAGGCACGCCAACAGCAUCAAUUUCAUCCCAAGUCAUAGUUUCUAGGUCAAGAAUAUGCAAAUCAUUCAAGAGAGAUCUCUUUGCAUCUUGUCCACCAAAAAUCACUAAGCUCGUCCCAACAAGUGUAACAGACUGACCCCCACGUGAGACCGGUGCUUUCCCAUAUGUCUUUAAGGUUGACCAAGUAUGAGUUUGUGGAUCAAAACCCUUCACUUGAAUGCUUUCAGAAGGAUCUUUUGUAUGUCCAGCAAUUGAUACAAGCUUAUUUUCCCAAGCUAUCAAGGAAUGACCAGCACAAUGAGUUAUUGUAGCAGGAGAUUUUGAUUCAUCUG